This 1104-nucleotide ribosomal RNA is filed under the name Leptolyngbya cf. henningsii 6FUR. Its description in RNAcentral is "bacterial SSU rRNA". It matches the Rfam family "Bacterial small subunit ribosomal RNA", at positions 415 to 1533 of the family's 1533-position model. The record is from RNAcentral. Lineage: Bacteria; Bacillati; Cyanobacteriota; Cyanophyceae; Leptolyngbyales; Leptolyngbyaceae.
CUCUUGGGUUGUAAACCUCUUUUAUUCGGGAAGAAGAUCUGACGGUACCGAAUGAAUCAGCAUCGGCUAACUCCGUGCCAGCAGCCGCGGUAAUACGGAGGAUGCAAGCGUUAUCCGGAUUUAUUGGGCGUAAAGCGUCCGCAGGUGGUUUUUCAAGUCUGCUGUUAAAGCGUGGGGCUUAACUCCAUACCGGCAGUGGAAACUGAGAGACUAGAGUCUGGUAGGGGUCACGGGAAUUCCCAGUGUAGCGGUGAAAUGCGUAGAUAUUGGGAAGAACACCAGCGGCGAAAGCGCGUGACUGGACCGGAACUGACACUCAUGGACGAAAGCUAGGGGAGCGAAAGGGAUUAGAUACCCCUGUAGUCCUAGCUGUAAACGAUGGAUACUAGGUGUUGCCCGUAUCGACCCGGGCAGUGCCGUAGCUAACGCGUUAAGUAUCCCGCCUGGGGAGUACGCACGCAAGUGUGAAACUCAAAGGAAUUGACGGGGGCCCGCACAAGCGGUGGAGUAUGUGGUUUAAUUCGAUGCAACGCGAAGAACCUUACCAGGGCUUGACAUGUCGCGAAUCCCGGUGAAAGUCGGGAGUGCCUUCGGGAGCGCGAACACAGGAGGUGCAUGGCUGUCGUCAGCUCGUGUCGUGAGAUGUUGGGUUAAGUCCCGCAACGAGCGCAACCCUCGUUUCUAGUUGCCAGCAUUCAGUUGGGCACUCUGGAGAGACUGCCGGUGACAAACCGGAGGAAGGUGGGGAUGACGUCAAGUCAGCAUGCCCCUUACGUCCUGGGCUACACACGUACUACAAUGCUUCGGACAGAGGGUUGCCAGACCGCGAGGUUGAGCUAAUCCCGUAAACCGAGGCUCAGUUCAGAUUGCAGGCUGCAACUCGCCUGCAUGAAGGCGGAAUCGCUAGUAAUCGCAGGUCAGCAUACUGCGGUGAAUACGUUCCCGGGCCUUGUACACACCGCCCGUCACACCAUGGGAGUUGGCCACGCCCGAAGUCGUUACUCCAACCUUUAUGGAGGAGGAUGCCGAAGGCAGGGCUGAUGACUGGGGUGAAGUCGUAACAAGGUAGCCGUACCGGAAGGUGUGGCUGGAUCACCUCCUUUU